GAUUUGCUACGAGAUUUACUUCAAGGCAAAUGAUGUUUACAACGAGCAGUGGCAGAAUGCUUGGAUCAUCCCAGCCUUCUGGCAAAUCUUAUCUUUCUCUCUGCUAUGUGUCAUUUGUGUUCUUUGGGCUCCUUCUCAGAAUUCUACGCGGUAUGCUUACUCUGGUGAAGCAAAUGAAGAUUUUGACAAAGAUGAUACUAAUUUGACACUCAUAAAACCCUCUCCAACACCUUCAAAAGAUUUUAGAACUGCACCGGAAACUAGAACGGUGCAGGGCAGCAAUGGAGCAUCCUCUAAUGGUGAUUUGGAAGAAGACAAGACAGAGUGACAUAAAAACCCCACCUGUGAAUCUGUGAUUCUUAGAACUCGGUUCAAUACUCGGAUUCACUUAAAUCAAGACCUUGUUAUAGUUGUAACAAUGAUCCCACUUUUUUUUUUAAUGUUAAUAUAGUUUGUGACAUGUUAUUUAACAUGUUUUUUUGUAUCGAACAUUAUCUACUAAUGUUGCAGAACAAUGGAUACCAUACUUAACCAGGAAAGCAUGUACCAUGACAAUAUAAAGGAGGUUCCAGCAAUUGAGAAUAUUGGAAAGGAUUGUAAA
Molecule: long non-coding RNA, 601 nt
Organism: Gossypium raimondii (Peruvian cotton)
Lineage: Eukaryota; Viridiplantae; Streptophyta; Magnoliopsida; Malvales; Malvaceae
Exons: 3
Source: RefSeq, a predicted model, not a curated record